AUACGGAGGAUGCGAGCGUUAUCCGGAUUUAUUGGGUUUAAAGGGUGCGCAGGCGGCCAUUUAAGUCAGCGGUUAAAUCGUGGGGCUCAACCCCAUUCUGCCGUUGAUACUGGGUGGCUUGAUUGCGGCCGAGGUUGGCGGAAUUCGUUGUGUAGCGGUGAAAUGCAUAGAUAUGACGAAGAACACCGAUUGCGUAGGCAGCUGACCAGACCGCAAAUGACGCUCAUGCACGAAAGUGCGGGGAUCGAACAGGAUUAGAUACCCUGGUAGUCCGCACAGUAAACGAUGAAUACUUGUUUUCGGCGAUAUAAUGUCGGAGGCAAAGCGAAAGCGAUAAGUAUUCCACCUGGGGAGUACGCCGGCAACGGUGAAACUCAAAGGAAUUGACGGGG
Molecule: ribosomal RNA, 392 nt
Filed under: uncultured bacterium
Lineage: Bacteria
Description: partial 16S ribosomal RNA
Rfam family: Bacterial small subunit ribosomal RNA
Source: RNAcentral